CGCCCGCCGCGCGCGGCGGGCCUACGGGAGGCAGCAGUGAGGAAUAUUGGUCAAUGGGCGGAAGCCUGAACCAGCCAAGUAGCGUGCAGGAUGACGGCCCUAUGGGUUGUAAACUGCUUUUAUACAGGAAUAAAGUUAGCCACGUGUGGUUAUUUGUAGGUACUGUAUGAAUAAGGACCGGCUAAUUCCGUGCCAGCAGCCGCGGUAAUA
Molecule: ribosomal RNA, 210 nt
Filed under: uncultured bacterium
Lineage: Bacteria
Description: partial 16S ribosomal RNA
Rfam family: Bacterial small subunit ribosomal RNA
Source: RNAcentral